This is a long non-coding RNA of Zea mays, 1187 nucleotides long. RefSeq lists it as uncharacterized. The transcript is spliced from 2 exons. The record is from RefSeq and is a predicted model, not a curated record. Lineage: Eukaryota; Viridiplantae; Streptophyta; Magnoliopsida; Poales; Poaceae.
UCUAUUCUAUUUCUUUCUAUAAACGCCAUUGGAUUGUCAUCGAACGGCAGCCGCCGAGUUAGGCGUCUGGACGGCUCCCAGUAACGCAACGCUUCUCGGCUUCUCGCCUCUUCUCUCACCCGUGACUCCGCCGCCGCAUCUCUCCUCCAACGCGCCGCCGCAUCUCUUCAACGCUCCAUGGUCCCCUUCACCUCCCGCCGCUACCCUACCCAUGGCCACCGCAGCCGCUCGUGCUACCCUCCCGCGGCCCCUCCUCUCUCUCCCACCCUUCCUCCUCCCACCACAUCCUCCGUGUGUCAGCCCGUCGUUGGCUCCGCCUUCUAUUGCCGUAGGGAACACGCGGCGUCGCCCUUGCGCUCCUCGCCACAUGCUGUUACAGGCUGUCGUACCCGUGUCCGCGGUUGAGGGCCUUGUGCCGGUCAUGUUGAAGAAGAAGCCCAUCGACUAGAUCUAUCUCGUCGUCGUGCGCCUCUCUGCCGAAGAGAGGCAACGCCUCCUCCGCGGUGCCAUCACGUGCUCCUCUCACUACUGCUUCCACUCCUCCCAGAGUCCCAGUACACCCCCGCCUUGUGGCAUCGCUGCUCGCCGCGGCCCUGCACCUCAGCCCUGCCUCCAUCCCGAGUCACACACCUAUCCUUUGAAGAAUUAAUGGCGACUGGAAGCAGCUUUUUACAGGUGAUUUCUGCACCCAUCUCCUUUGAAGAAUGAAUGACGACUGGAAGAAGCUUUUGACAGGAGUGCCAUUCUGCUAGAUGCCACACGCUAGCUAAAGCAAAGAUACACAUAGAGCAAAGAGGGGAAAAGAAUAUGAGCUGAAAUGCGCAAAAGGCUAAGGAAAGCAGACAACUUAUUGCAAAUAAGAAAUCAGUACAAAUGAUGAAUCGACCUAUGAAAAUUGAGUCCGAUGGGAAUUUGGAUCCAAAGAAAGGUGGUGCUGUCUUGGAUUCUACUAAAACUAUAGGACUUACAAGUGUUAAGUAGUGGGAUGACUGGCAUAUAGUUGGAUUUCCUGGGGCAGAGCUAUUAAGUACUAGUGUAAGUGCAUUUUAAAUCCAAGUACCAUGUCUGGUGACUGGUGAUCUCAUUUGGGCAUAUUAAUAAUGUAACCUUCUUCAUAGCUUUCGUGUUUAUUACAGUAAGACAUGAAAAUCCUUUUGAUUUGAGGAAAAGCUUCUAUGUUGUCAGAA